This is a long non-coding RNA of Rhipicephalus microplus (southern cattle tick), 708 nucleotides long. The record is from RefSeq and is a predicted model, not a curated record. NCBI's taxonomy places the organism in Eukaryota, Metazoa, Arthropoda, Arachnida, Ixodida, Ixodidae.
UUUUGUGUGCGCCCUAACUCUCUUAAACUUUAAAAUUUAAACUUUUUAAAACUUGAUUCAAACUUUUUUAUGUUGAUGUUUAUGCGCGAAAACACCGAUAUAGGGAAAGUAGGCUAAGUCGAACUGCAGCAGUUCGCAGUCUCAUGGCAGACACCUUGUGCAAACCAAGUGAUCAUCUCUCAGAAUUGCUAAGAGAGAGCCCGAAAUGCUUCUGGAGGUUGCGGCUGAUAGUUGGUGAACGCUACUAACGACAACCACCAAAUACUGCUACGCAUUUCAACCAAACAGUGUUCACGUACCAUCAGCUCUUACUUUUCCGAGCUACGCAGACCAUAUUCUAUUCCCUACACAGUUUCCGUACCCAUGCCCAUGGAAUGUACGCAGAAAAUGUGCCCCACAGCACCUCAGUAGUUAUUCGAUGUUUCUCUCGAGUUUUGCCUUUUUUCUAGUUCAAAUUCUGAAGACUAGUACGUGUUUGGAAGGGGUCAUGAUCGUUCAUGCCACUGGACUCGCAGUGUUAAAUCAAAGGUCGCCUGCACUUCUUGGUCUGCAAAUUUCGGUCUACGGAAAAUUGUGAAAGGAAAUACGGUUCACAACACUGGAUAACGCUUUAUACGAUACAACGUCAUGGUAUUACUGCUAGACAUUUUUUCACUUCUCGAACAGAAUAAAAGAGUGGCGUGACAAUGGCCCUUUCGCGCAGACAAA